GUUUUCUGUACAUGCAUCGUUACUAGUGAUGACUCAAAAACCCCAAAACCUGCAUCAAGUAAAAGGACGUGUCCAAAUGAAUAAACCCUUUUACCUGCACCAAUUCUGCCUCCUGCCUGAUUAU
Melanotaenia boesemani (Boeseman's rainbowfish) is the source of this 124-nucleotide long non-coding RNA. RefSeq lists it as uncharacterized. The record is from RefSeq and is a predicted model, not a curated record. The transcript is spliced from 3 exons. Lineage: Eukaryota; Metazoa; Chordata; Actinopteri; Atheriniformes; Melanotaeniidae.